This 467-nucleotide ribosomal RNA is filed under the name uncultured bacterium. RNAcentral describes it as "partial 16S ribosomal RNA". It matches the Rfam family "Bacterial small subunit ribosomal RNA", at positions 28 to 507 of the family's 1533-position model. The record is from RNAcentral.
GACGAACGCUGGCGGCGUGCUUAACACAUGCAAGUCGAACGGAAAGGCCUCUUUCGGGGGGUACUCGAGUGGCGAACGGGUGAGUAACACGUGAGUAACCUGCCCUUGACUUUGGGAUAACUUCAGGAAACUGGGGCUAAUACCGGAUAGGAGCUCCUGCUGCAUGGUGGGGGUUGGAAAGCUUCGGCGGUUGGGGAUGGACUCGCGGCUUAUCAGCUUGUUGGUGGGGUAGUGGCUUACCAAGGCUUUGACGGGUAGCCGGCCUGAGAGAGUGACCGGCCACAUUGGGACUGAGAUACGGCCCAGACUCCUACGGGAGGCAGCAGUGGGGAAGAUUGCACAAUGGGUGGAAGCCUGGUGCAGCAACGCCGUGUGCGGGAUGACGGCCUUCGGGUUGUAAACCGCUUUCGCUCAUGACGAAGCUUUGUGUGACGGUAGUGGGUAAAAAAGCACCGGCUAACUACGUG